This 403-nucleotide ribosomal RNA is filed under the name bacterium. RNAcentral describes it as "partial 16S ribosomal RNA". It matches the Rfam family "Bacterial small subunit ribosomal RNA", at positions 355 to 776 of the family's 1533-position model. The record is from RNAcentral.
UGGGGAAUAUUGCACAAUGGGGGAAACCCUGAUGCAGCGACGCCGCGUGAACGAAGAAGGUAUUCGUAUCGUAAAGUUCUGUCCUAUGGGAAGAUAAUGACAGUACCAUAGAAGAAAGCUCCGGCUAAAUACGUGCCAGCAGCCGCGGUAAUACGUAUGGAGCGAGCGUUGUCCGGAAUUAUUGGGCGUAAAGGGUACGCAGGCGGUUUAAUAAGUCGAAUGUUAAAGAUCGGGGCUCAACCCCGUAAAGCAUUGGAAACUGAUAAACUUGAGUAGUGGAGAGGAAAGUGGAAUUCCUAGUGUAGUGGUGAAAUACGUAGAUAUUAGGAGGAUUACCAGUAGCGAAGGCGACUUUCUGGACACAAACUGACGCUGAGGUACGAAAGCGUGGGGAGCAAACAGG